UGGUGGUUUCCUCCAUGGCACUGGACUUCCUACUGAUGGCCUGGCCACCCGCAUGGGAGGCUUCAGUAAUGAAAAGGAGAAGCUAGCAGGGCAUCAGCACACCCUUCCCUAACUGUUGGGAAAAGGGCUGAAAAGUGAAUUUUCCACAAAGACUUUUCAGGCAUGAAAGCACUGCGUUUUGAAAGCCAUGGAAGCCCAAGCAAAGCAAAAUGUACCUCUACUCAAAUGAGUUCAUUGGUGGUCGGGUCUUGGAGAAAAGGACUGUCUGCAGAUAGCCAAAGGAGCUCGUCAUUCGUUCGACAUCACAGGGAUCCUCUGCCAUCAUGCGAAAUGCACAGACCGCAAGUUGGCUUUUCUUUGCUGGCUCUUAAACCAGCGCCGUGCACACCAACAAUGCCCGUCAUUGUCUCUUGGGAGCUUUGUACACCCCUAAAGUGACAAAAGGGAAC
Molecule: long non-coding RNA, 449 nt
Filed under: Mustela putorius furo (domestic ferret)
Lineage: Eukaryota; Metazoa; Chordata; Mammalia; Carnivora; Mustelidae
Description: lncRNA (ENSMPUG00000031328.1)
Source: RNAcentral